AGGAAGUGAAAGUCACACAGUCGGAGCCACAGAGAGGAGACAUGGCGCAGAAAGGAGUUGAGCUGGACAGAGAGAGCUUCUCUUGUUCCAUCUGUCUGGAUCUCCUGAAGGAUCCGGUGACUAUUCCCUGUGGACACAGCUACUGCAUGGAGUGUAUUCAAAGCUUCUGGGGUGAAGAGGAUGAGGAGAAAAUCCACAGCUGCCCUCAGUGCAGGCAGACGUUCACAGCCAGGCCUGUCCUGGUGAAAAGCACCAUGUUGGCAGCUCUGAUGGAGGAGCUGAAGAGGAGCGGACUUCAAGCUGCUCCUGCUGAUCACUGCUAUGCUGGAGCUGAAGAUGUGGCCUGUGAUGUCUGCACUGGAAGAAAACUCAAAGCUUUCAAGUCCUGUGUGGUGUGUGUGGCCUCUUUCUGUGAGCAGCACCUUCAGCCUCAUUAUGAUUCAGCUGCUUUCAAGAAGCACAAGCUGGUGGAUCCCUCCAAGACGCUGCAGGACAACAUGUGCUCUCGUCACGAUGAGGUGAUGAAGAUGUUCUGCCGCACCGAUCAGCAGUGCAUCUGUUUCCUCUGCUCUGUGGACCAACACAAAGGCCACAACACAGUGUCAGCUGCAGCAGAGAGGACGGAGAGGCAGAGGGAGCUGGAGGAGAGUCGACAGAUCAUCCAGCAGAGGAUCCAGGACGCAGAGAAAGACGUGAAGCUGCUGGAACAGGAGGCGAAGAACAUCCAUGUCUCUGCUGAUCAGACAGUGGAGGACUGUGAGAAGACCUUCAGCCAGCUGAUCCGUCUCCUCCAGGAAAGAAGCAGAGAUGUUGAGCAGCAGGUCAGAUCCCAGCAGCAAACAGAGGUGAGUCGAGUGCGAGAGCUUCAGGAGAAGCUGGAGCAGGAGAUCGCUGAGCUGAAGAGGACAGACGGCCAGCUGGAGCAGCUCUCACACACAGAGGAUCACACAGAGUUUCUGCUCAGCUUCCCCUCACUGUCAGCUCUCAGUGAGUCCACACACUCAUCCAGCUUCCACACUGCUCCUCUCAGAUACUUUGAGGAUGUGACAGCAGCUGUGUCAGAGGCCCGAGACAAACUCCAGAACAUCCUGAGUGAAACAUGGACAAACAUCUCACUGAGAGUGACUGAAGUGGAUGUUUUACUGCCACAACCAGAGCCAACGACCAGAGCUGCUUUCUUCAGAUACUCACGUGAACUCACACUGGAUCCAAACACAGCAAACAAAAUGCUGUUAUUAUCAGAGGGAAACAGGAAAGUCACAUUAAUGAAGAAUGAACAGUCUUAUUCUGAACAUCCAGACAGAUUCACUAGAUGGUGGCAGGUUGUGAGUAGAGAAAGUCUGACUGGACGUUGUUACUGGGAGGUGGAGAUGAGAGGAGACGUUCUUGUAGCAGUCGCAUAUAAGAAUAUCAGCAGAGGAGAUGGGGGUGACAGCCGUUUUGGUCAAAAUGACAAGUCAUGGGCUUUACGUUGUUCCAACAACAGUUAUAGAUUUGAUCACAACAAAGUUGAAACUCCAGUGUCAGGUCCUCCGUCCUCCAGAGUGGGAGUGUUCCUGGAUCACACAGCAGGUAUUCUGUCCUUCUACAGCGUCUCUGAGACCACGACUCUCCUCCACAGAGUCCAGACCACAUUCACUCAGCCUCUCCUCGCUGGAGUCUGGUUCACUGGAAAUAGAUGGUCUCCCUCUGAAGCAAGUGCAGAGUUGAUGAAGCUGAAAUAGACUGAGGUCACAUCAGGAGCAGUGAUUUGGUUCCAUCCUGUAAUUUGACUCAUUGAGUCUCCUUGUUGUUUUCUUUCUCCGCUGCACACAGAUCAGCUGUCAAACAGCCUUCGUCAGCACUUGUUCAUCUUUUCUUCUUCUG
Molecule: RNA transcript, 1866 nt
Organism: Salarias fasciatus (jewelled blenny)
Lineage: Eukaryota; Metazoa; Chordata; Actinopteri; Blenniiformes; Blenniidae
Gene name: tripartite motif-containing protein 16-like
Exons: 2
Source: RefSeq, a predicted model, not a curated record